GACGACCUUUGGCGGCGUGCCUAACACAUGCAAGUCGAACGAGAAUCUUUGAACAGAACUUUUCGGAGUGACGUUCAAAGAGGAAAGUGGCGGACGGGCGAGUAACGCGUGAGUAACCUGCCCAUAAGAGGGGGAUAAUCCAUGGAAACGUGGACUAAUACCGCAUAUUGUAGUUAAGUUGCAUGACUUGAUUAUGAAAGAUUUAUCGCUUAUGGAUGGACUCGCGUCAGAUUAGAUAGUUGGUGAGGUAACGGCUCACCAAGUCAACGAUCUGUAGCCGAACUGAGAGGUUGAUCGGCCGCAUUGGGACUGAGACACGGCCCAGACUCCUACGGGAGGCAGCAGUGGGGAAUAUUGCGCAAUGGGGGCAACCCUGACGCAGCAACGCCGCGUGCAGGAAGAAGGUCUUCGGAUUGUAAACUGUUGUCGCAAGGGAAGAAGACAGUGACGGUACCUUGUGAGAAAGUCACGGCUAACUACGUGCCAGCAGCCGCGGUAAUACGUAGGUGACAAGCGUUGUCCGGAUUUACUGGGUGUAAAGGGCGCGUAGGCGGACUGUCAAGUCAGUCGUGAAAUACCGGGGCUUAACCCCGGGGCUGCGAUUGAAACUGACAGCCUUGAGUAUCGGAGAGGAAAGCGGAAUUCCUAGUGUAGCGGUGAAAUGCGUAGAUAUUAGGAGGAACACCAGUGGCGAAGGCGGCUUUCUGGACGACAACUGACGCUGAGGCGCGAAAGUGUGGGGAGCAAACAGGAUUAGAUACCCUGGUAGUCCACACCGUAAACG
RNAcentral lists this ribosomal RNA (784 nucleotides) under uncultured bacterium. Its description in RNAcentral is "bacterial SSU rRNA". It matches the Rfam family "Bacterial small subunit ribosomal RNA", at positions 28 to 808 of the family's 1533-position model. The record is from RNAcentral.